UCAAAGAGAGACUGUAUUCUUCAAAACUCAAAAUGAGUCACCUAAAUUCAUGGGAAUUGAACUUUCUUCCUUCUCUUGGUAUCAUUUGUACCUUUGUUCUUUUGUUAAACAGAUAUUAUGGUUUUACAAGUACACAAUAGGCAAGUAUGUGUAAUUCGUGGUAUCUUUUUGUAAGGAAAUUUAUAAAAGAAAUGCUGAAAUUCGGAAGAAACAAAUUAUUUCACAUAUCGGUGGCUCCAAACCUAACUCCAGAAGAAGGGAUGAAAUGAUGGCUGAGACUGGAAAAAAGCCUGGACGAGGACAACUUUAUCUCGCUACACAUAGGAAUGAAGAUGGAUCAUAUGUUAAUGAGGCGGCAAAAGAGAUAUGUGAAAAAAUUGAACUAGCAUUGAGCCAAAGCACCGUGGAUGAGUCGGAAAUUUUGCCAAAUGAUGUCAUUGGUAAGGUGUUGGGAAAAGAGCACUCUGGAAUGGUAAGGUGCUUGGGAUUAGGAGUUGUUCCUGGCAGAGCGUUUAGACAAACAAGACCUCGUUAUAAUGAUUUGAAUGCUUCAAGUUAUAAUAACGGUUCAUGUUCUUCCUAAUGCCAAGAGAAGUACAAUCAAAUGUUGAAUGCUCACAAUCAAAGCCAAGAGAACUACAGAGAAAUGAUGAAUGCUUUUAAGGCGUAUAUGAUAAUGAAAGUAGGGAGGAUACCUGAAUAAUUUGCAGGGAUCUUUGUUUCUCCUCAUUCAACGCCAAGUGAUGUGGCUAGCGGAUCCAUUUCACCCAUGGAUGUAAGAAGAUCAUCUGGUGGAAGUAAUCCUAACGACAACCAUUGAAGUUGCUUCCAAAUGUAUCGUACUCCAUUGAAUGGUCAUAGGAAUUCUUUUGUCCAUAAUAGUUGGAGUAGAU
Non-coding RNA from Nicotiana tabacum (common tobacco), 893 nucleotides. The record is from RefSeq and is a predicted model, not a curated record. NCBI's taxonomy places the organism in Eukaryota, Viridiplantae, Streptophyta, Magnoliopsida, Solanales, Solanaceae.